Molecule: non-coding RNA, 364 nt
Filed under: Baudoinia panamericana UAMH 10762
Lineage: Eukaryota; Fungi; Ascomycota; Dothideomycetes; Mycosphaerellales; Teratosphaeriaceae
Description: Eukaryotic large subunit ribosomal RNA
Rfam family: Eukaryotic large subunit ribosomal RNA
Source: Rfam by way of RNAcentral
AUCGUCCCAACGGUAAUACCGCUUAGUACGAGAGGAACCGCGGUUUCAGAUAAUUGGUUUUUGCGGCUGUCCGACCGGGCAGUGCCGCGACGCUACCAUCUGCUGGAUUAUGGCUGAACGCCUCUAAGUCAGAAUCCAUGCCGGAACGGGACGAUCCUCUCCGGCACGCCGUACGCGGAUGAGAAUAGGUACCGCCAGCACCUUGCACGGGCACGCCGCUGAAGAGGCAGCCCGACUUUGUAAUUUGACCGCGCGCCGGGAUGAAACCCUUGCAGACGACUGGGGAUGUCGGACCGGGUCGUGUAAGCAGUCGAGUAGCCUUGUUGUUACGAGCUGCUGAGCGUAAGCCCGCGUCCGCAGUUUU